UAGGGAAUAUUGGUUAAUGUGCGAAAGCGCGAACCAGCAACGCCGCGUGUGCGAUGAAGGCCUUCGGGUUGUAAAGCACUUUUCGAGGGGAUGAGGAAGGACAGUACCCUCGGAAUAAGCCUCGGCUAACUACGUGCCAGCAGCCGCGGUAAAACGUAGGAGGCGAGCGUUAUCCGGAUUUACUGGGCGUAAAGCGCGUGCAGGCGGUUGUGUAAGUUGGAUGUGAAAGCUCCUGGCUUAACUGGGAGAGGUCGUUCAAUACUGCACAACUAGAGGAUGGGAGAGGGAGGCGGAAUUCCGGGUGUAGUGGUGAAAUGCGUAGAUAUCCGGAGGAACACCAGUGGCGAAAGCGGCCUCCUGGCCCAUAACUGACGCUCAUACGCGAAAGCUAGGGUAGCA
This 399-nucleotide ribosomal RNA is filed under the name uncultured bacterium. RNAcentral describes it as "bacterial SSU rRNA". It matches the Rfam family "Bacterial small subunit ribosomal RNA", at positions 355 to 770 of the family's 1533-position model. The record is from RNAcentral.